Molecule: ribosomal RNA, 186 nt
Filed under: Triticum aestivum (bread wheat)
Lineage: Eukaryota; Viridiplantae; Streptophyta; Magnoliopsida; Poales; Poaceae
Description: partial small subunit ribosomal RNA
Source: RNAcentral
GAGGUGUUGGCCCUCACCAAAGCCAAUUUCCCCAAACUAGUCUUUUUAAGUGAGACUAGGCAAGAUGUCGUUAAGAUGGAGAAGCUCAAGUGGAGGCUAGGCCUAAAAGGUUUCCACGGUGUCAGUAGUAAUGGAAGGAGCGGUGGUUUGGCUUUGUUUUGGGAUGAAUCUCUUAAGGUGACAGUU